GGGAUAAAGGCAUAGCAGGACUCCCAGUGCUGAGCUGAGGGAGCAGCGGGAAGGAACGCUGGAAGGAGGGAGAGGAGUUUGCUCUCUGCUUCCAGGAAGGAUCAAAUGCGAAUGAAAGCCCAGAGCCUCUGCACUGUUUAUACCAAAGCAAGCAAAGCCAAUUACAGACCAGGGUGGUCGGCUUUCAGCCUGUGACCAGGAGGAGCACAGAGAGGCCGCCACCCCAGCCAGGCCGGACAGCACCCACCUUUCUGACCCUUCUUCAUGAGAGCUAAGAACUCUUCGUAUCGUCUCUGCUUUUCGGGAUCUUUGGCGAAAGGCUUGAAGUUGCUGGCUCUUGCGGUGGCCGCCGUCCCCCCGCCCGCCGCCAGAUGCCACCGGCUGGAUGCGAGGUCCGGCGUGGGGGUCUGGGCUCUGCUGCUGGAGGCCGCCUGGGCCAGACUCCGGGCCUUGGCCUGAGCUGCUUUCAGGUCAAGGUCAGUUGCCUGCUUCGUUUCUUUAAUUCUUUCUCUGUCUUUUUGGGACAGAAACUCCAACACUGAAGUAGAUGAUCCUAGGUAAGAAAAAUAACAAGACACGAAAAAUAGACUUACUUCUGCCGGGCAAAGACACUACCGCUUUUUUGUUGUUUUUGUUUUUGUUUUUUUCGAGACAGGGUUUCUCUGUGUAGCCCUGGCUAUCCUGGAACUCUUUCUGUAGACCAAGGUGACCUCAAAGUCAAAGAGAUCUGCCUGCCUCUGCCUCCCGAGUGCUGGGAUUAAAGGCGUGCACCCCCACUGCUUGGCUUAAGUAACUUUUUUUAUAGAAGACAAAUAACCUAGGUGGCACACUCCUGUGAUCUCAGCAGGGUGUGACUGAGGUGGCAGAACCAAGAGUUCAAAAUCAUCCCUGGCCACAUUGAGAAUUAAGGGCCAUCCUGGGCUACAUGAGACCUUGGGGGGGGGUA
This is a long non-coding RNA of Mesocricetus auratus (golden hamster), 946 nucleotides long. RefSeq lists it as uncharacterized. NCBI's taxonomy places the organism in Eukaryota, Metazoa, Chordata, Mammalia, Rodentia, Cricetidae. The record is from RefSeq and is a predicted model, not a curated record. The transcript has 2 exons.